GACGAACGCUGGCGGCGUGCUUAACACAUGCAAGUCGAACGGAAAGGCCCUGCUUUUGUGGGGUGCUCGAGUGGCGAACGGGUGAGUAACACGUGAGUAACCUGCCCUUGACUUUUGUAUAACUUCAGGAAACUGGGGCUAAUACCUGCUAGUCUCUCCUGCUUCAUGGUGGGGUUUGGAAAGUUUCGGCGGUUGGGGAUGGACUCGCGGCUUAUCAGCUUUUUGGUGGGGUAUUGGCUUACCAAGGCUUUGACGGGUAGCCGGCCUGAGAGGGUGACCGGCAAAAUUGGGACUGAGAUACGGACCAGACUCCUACGGGAGGCAGCAGUGGGGAAUAUUGCAAAAUGGGCGGAAGCCUGAUGCAGCAACGCCGCGUGCGGGAUGACGGCCUUCGGGUUGUAAACCGCUUUCGCCUGUGACGAAGCGUGAGUGACGGUAAUGGGUAAAGAAGCACCGGCUAACUACGUG
This 468-nucleotide ribosomal RNA is filed under the name uncultured bacterium. RNAcentral's name for it is "partial 16S ribosomal RNA". It matches the Rfam family "Bacterial small subunit ribosomal RNA", at positions 28 to 507 of the family's 1533-position model. The record is from RNAcentral.